UGCAGUCGAACGAAGGCUUCGGCCUUAGUGGCGCACGGGUGCGUAACGCGUGGGAAUCUGCCCCUGGGUACGGAAUAACAGUGAGAAAUUACUGCUAAUACCGUAUGAUGACGUAAGUCCAAAGAUUUAUCGCCCAGGGAUGAGCCCGCGUAGGAUUAGCUUGUUGGUGAGGUAAAGGCUCACCAAGGCGACGAUCCUUAGCUGGUCUGAGAGGAUGAUCAGCCACACUGGGACUGAGACACGGCCCAGACUCCUACGGGAGGCAGCAGUGGGGAAUAUUGGACAAUGGGCGAAAGCCUGAUCCAGCAAUGCCGCGUGAGUGAUGAAGGCCCUAGGGUUGUAAAGCUCUUUUACCCGGGAAGAUAAUGACUGUACCGGGAGAAUAAGCCCCGGCUAACUCCGUGCCAGCAGCCGCGGUAAUACGGAGGGGGCUAGCGUUGUUCGGAAUUACUGGGCGUAAAGCGUACGUAGGCGGCUUUGUAAGUUAGAGGUGAAAGCCUGGUGCUCAACACCAGAACUGCCUUUAAGACUGCAUCGCUUGAACGUCGGAGAGGUGAGUGGAAUUCCGAGUGUAGAGGUGAAAUUCGUAGAUAUUCGGAAGAACACCAGUGGCGAAGGCGGCUCACUGGACGACUGUUGACGCUGAGGUAC
Molecule: ribosomal RNA, 651 nt
Filed under: Sphingomonas sp. 55AI
Lineage: Bacteria; Pseudomonadati; Pseudomonadota; Alphaproteobacteria; Sphingomonadales; Sphingomonadaceae
Description: bacterial SSU rRNA
Rfam family: Bacterial small subunit ribosomal RNA
Source: RNAcentral